GGUCUGGUGGUGUAGUUGGUUAUCGCGUCAGUCUAACAUCUCGAGCGUCCCACGACGCCUGCCUGUUCACUGAAGGUCUCCGGUUCAAGUCCGGGCUAGAUCA
Non-coding RNA from Colletotrichum godetiae, 103 nucleotides. The record is from the annotation of a RefSeq genome assembly. NCBI's taxonomy places the organism in Eukaryota, Fungi, Ascomycota, Sordariomycetes, Glomerellales, Glomerellaceae.